Molecule: long non-coding RNA, 173 nt
Organism: Mastomys coucha (southern multimammate mouse)
Lineage: Eukaryota; Metazoa; Chordata; Mammalia; Rodentia; Muridae
Exons: 2
Source: RefSeq, a predicted model, not a curated record
GAGAGAUAAAGGAGGAUUCAGGAGAGGAUGAAGAGCAGAGAACGUCAUGUAGAAUUGACUCCUCAACCCCUGUCCAGAGCAUAGGUCAGGAGUUACUCUUGUCCUGUUGAUACCUGACCAGACCACACCGGACAGUCUUUGCCCAAAGGAAUAAAGGCAUUUCAUAAAAGGAG